UACGUAGGUGGCAAGCGUUGUCCGGAAUUAUUGGGCGUAAAGGAUGCGUAGGCGGCCUUUUAAGUGGGAUGUGAAAUACCCGGGCUUAACCCGGGAAUGGCAUUCCAAACUGGAAGGCUAGAGUGCAGGAGAGGAAAGUGGAAUUCCCAGUGUAGCGGUGAAAUGCGUAGAGAUUGGGAGGAACACCAGUGGCGAAGGCGACUUUCUGGACUGUAACUGACGCUGAGGCAUGAAAGCGUGGGGAGCAAACAGG
RNAcentral lists this ribosomal RNA (253 nucleotides) under uncultured bacterium. RNAcentral describes it as "partial 16S ribosomal RNA". It matches the Rfam family "Bacterial small subunit ribosomal RNA", at positions 524 to 776 of the family's 1533-position model. RNAcentral also lists the same sequence under 1 other name. The record is from RNAcentral.